ACGGGUGAGUAAUGCAUCGGAACGUGCCCAGUAGUGGGGGAUAGCCCGGCGAAAGCCGGAUUAAUACCGCAUACGACCUACGGGUGAAAGGGGGGGAUCGCAAGACCUCUCGCUAUUGGAGCGGCCGAUGUCAGAUUAGCUAGUUGGUGGGGUAAAAGCCUACCAAGGCGACGAUCUGUAGCUGGUCUGAGAGGACGACCAGCCACACUGGGACUGAGACACGGCCCAGACUCCUACGGGAGGCAGCAGUGGGGAAUUUUGGACAAUGGGCGAAAGCCUGAUCCAGCCAUGCCGCGUGCGGGAAGAAGGCCUUCGGGUUGUAAACCGCUUUUGUCAGGGAAGAAAUCCUUUGGGCUAAUACCCCUGGGGGAUGACGGUACCUGAAGAAUAAGCACCGGCUAACUACGUGCCAGCAGCCGCGGUAAUACGUAGGGUGCAAGCGUUAAUCGGAAUUACUGGGCGUAAAGCGUGCGCAGGCGGUUAUGCAAGACAGAUGUGAAAUCCCCGGGCUCAACCUGGGAACUGCAUUUGUGACUGCAUAGCUGGAGUGCGGCAGAGGGGGAUGGAAUUCCGCGUGUAGCAGUGA
Molecule: ribosomal RNA, 586 nt
Filed under: uncultured bacterium
Lineage: Bacteria
Description: bacterial SSU rRNA
Rfam family: Bacterial small subunit ribosomal RNA
Source: RNAcentral